RNAcentral lists this unclassified non-coding RNA (294 nucleotides) under Hevea brasiliensis (rubber tree). Lineage: Eukaryota; Viridiplantae; Streptophyta; Magnoliopsida; Malpighiales; Euphorbiaceae. The record is from RNAcentral.
GUCAGGGUUCUACAUGACUUCUUUUGCUGCAACAAUCUUCAUUGGUGCUCUUGUAACUGUUGGAGUUGUAUUCAUCACCCUGCUGAUUGCUUUAUCAGUAAUGUUGCAGUCCUGUGAGAAUAGAAGUAAAGGUGUUAUUGAGAUUCAAAAACCCAAUGAUGAUUACAAUUACUGCAAGAUUUUUGCUCUGCAUGCAGAGCUCAACAACUUGGGACCGGGGGACUUCCCUUCAAUUUGCAGGAGUCUUGCUGUUCAGCACAUCAAAGAAGGUCAAUAUGAGAGAGAAUUAAACAG